AUUGAACGCUGGCGGCAUGCUUUACACAUGCAAGUCGAACGGCAGCACGGGCUUCGGCCUGGUGGCGAGUGGCGAACGGGUGAGUAAUGCAUCGGAACGUACCGUGUAAUGGGGGAUAACGUAGCGAAAGUUACGCUAAUACCGCAUACGCCCUGAGGGGGAAAGCGGGGGAUCGUAAGACCUCGCGUUAUACGAGCGGCCGAUGUCGGAUUAGCUAGUUGGUGGGGUAAAGGCUCACCAAGGCGACGAUCCGUAGCUGGUCUGAGAGGACGACCAGCCACACUGGGACUGAGACACGGCCCAGACUCCUACGGGAGGCAGCAGUGGGGAAUAUUGGACAAUGGGCGCAAGCCUGAUCCAGCCAUGCCGCGUGAGUGAUGAAGGCCUUAGGGUUGUAAAGCUCUUUUGCCGGGGACGAUAAUGACGGUACCCGAGAAUAAGUCCCGGCUAACUUCGUG
RNAcentral lists this ribosomal RNA (458 nucleotides) under uncultured bacterium. Its description in RNAcentral is "bacterial SSU rRNA". It matches the Rfam family "Bacterial small subunit ribosomal RNA", at positions 30 to 507 of the family's 1533-position model. The record is from RNAcentral.